GGAUGCGAUCAUACAAGCACUAAAGCACCGGAUCCCAUCAGAACUCCAAAGUUAAGCGUGCUUAGGCGAGAGUAGUAUUAGGAUGGGUGACCUCCUGGGAAGUCCUCGUGUUGCAUUCC
RNAcentral lists this ribosomal RNA (119 nucleotides) under Triticum aestivum (bread wheat). Lineage: Eukaryota; Viridiplantae; Streptophyta; Magnoliopsida; Poales; Poaceae. The record is from RNAcentral.